AAUCUCUUCACCAAUCAUCUCAACAAGCAUUGUAGAGGAUUUCUGGACCAUCACAAGCCUUGAAACAAGCCAAAUCUAAAUUCUGCACUUCAAGAGGUCAGGAUUCGACCUCUCUAAUUCUCAAAUUCUUUGUUAUAUUCAUGUAGAUCUUUUGCUGGUGAUGAUUUUGGUAUAAAGAUUUGAGUGAAUUGGUGCAUUGUACACGAAGUUAUGCUUGAUUCAAGUUUUGGUGUCAAAUUUUAUUUUCUUCGAUCCGAG
RNAcentral lists this long non-coding RNA (258 nucleotides) under Lathyrus oleraceus (garden pea). Its description in RNAcentral is "Pisum sativum (pea) long non-coding RNA (PSAT_LNC036916)". The record is from RNAcentral. Lineage: Eukaryota; Viridiplantae; Streptophyta; Magnoliopsida; Fabales; Fabaceae.